UGAGGAAUAUUGGUCAAUGGGCGCGAGCCUGAACCAGCCAAGUCGCGUGAGGGAUGACGGCCCUACGGGUUGUAAACCUCUUUGUCGGGGAGCAAAUUCCGUUACGUGUAACGGAGUCGAGAGUACCCGAAGAAAAAGCAUCGGCUAACUCCGUGCC
This 157-nucleotide ribosomal RNA is filed under the name uncultured bacterium. RNAcentral describes it as "partial 16S ribosomal RNA". It matches the Rfam family "Bacterial small subunit ribosomal RNA", at positions 355 to 509 of the family's 1533-position model. The record is from RNAcentral.